Cajanus cajan (pigeon pea) is the source of this 224-nucleotide non-coding RNA. The record is from RefSeq and is a predicted model, not a curated record. Lineage: Eukaryota; Viridiplantae; Streptophyta; Magnoliopsida; Fabales; Fabaceae.
UUCAAUUCCAAUACCUUGAUCAGGAAAUUGUAUCUAAGUUGGUAGUUGCUCCAUUACCUAUGGAAAAUCUGGUCCCAACACAACCAAUUUUCUGUCGUUGAUGUUAAUGGUUCACAAUACAAUUCUAAUUACAUACAGCAUACACAAACAUAUAAUUAUCAAUCCCAAACCAGAAUGCCUAAACGUCACGGGAAGCAAGUUAUUGGCUCUGUUCAACUCUCCAG